RNAcentral lists this ribosomal RNA (782 nucleotides) under Streptomyces sp. ABS-58. RNAcentral describes it as "bacterial SSU rRNA". It matches the Rfam family "Bacterial small subunit ribosomal RNA", at positions 49 to 850 of the family's 1533-position model. Lineage: Bacteria; Bacillati; Actinomycetota; Actinomycetes; Kitasatosporales; Streptomycetaceae. The record is from RNAcentral.
UUANACNUGCAAGUCGAACGAUGAACCACNUCGGUGGGGAUUAGUGGCGAACGGGUGAGUAACACGUGGGCAAUCUGCCCUUCACUCUGGGACAAGCCCUGGAAACGGGGUCUAAUACCGGAUAUCACUUCCACUCGCAUGGGUGGGGGUUGAAAGCUCCGGCGGUGAAGGAUGAGCCCGCGGCCUAUCAGCUUGUUGGUGAGGUAAUGGCUCACCAAGGCGACGACGGGUAGCCGGCCUGAGAGGGCGACCGGCCACACUGGGACUGAGACACGGCCCAGACUCCUACGGGAGGCAGCAGUGGGGAAUAUUGCACAAUGGGCGAAAGCCUGAUGCAGCGACGCCGCGUGAGGGAUGACGGCCUUCGGGUUGUAAACCUCUUUCAGCAGGGAAGAAGCGAAAGUGACGGUACCUGCAGAAGAAGCGCCGGCUAACUACGUGCCAGCAGCCGCGGUAAUACGUAGGGCGCAAGCGUUGUCCGGAAUUAUUGGGCGUAAAGAGCUCGUAGGCGGUCUGUCACGUCGGAUGUGAAAGCCCGGGGCUUAACCCCGGGUCUGCAUUCGAUACGGGCAGACUAGAGUGUGGUAGGGGAGAUCGGAAUUCCUGGUGUAGCGGUGAAAUGCGCAGAUAUCAGGAGGAACACCGGUGGCGAAGGCGGAUCUCUGGGCCAUUACUGACGCUGANGAGCGAAAGCGUGGGGAGCGAACAGGAUNGAUACCCUGGUAGUCCCGCCGUAACGGUGGGAACUAGGUGUUGGCGAAUUNCACGUCGUCGGUGCCGCA